Long non-coding RNA from Vidua chalybeata, 1587 nucleotides. RefSeq lists it as uncharacterized. NCBI's taxonomy places the organism in Eukaryota, Metazoa, Chordata, Aves, Passeriformes, Viduidae. The record is from RefSeq and is a predicted model, not a curated record. The transcript is spliced from 3 exons.
UAUAACAUUAACCAGUGGGGAAAAGGGAAAGGAGUGUUCUUGGUGGAAGAACUAAAGGGAAAACGUGGAACAGAGAAGAUUCUAGGCUAAGGGGCAGACUUGAACAAUAACUGACAAGACAGGGGGAGGGUACAAUUCUCUUACAAAAGGGGGUGGAGAACUCAUACAACUGCUGUUUCCCAUGGCAACCCUAGACUGCCUUCCCCAACCCCUCCUCCUACACCAGUGACAGCUUUUCACACUGAAGGCAAGUGCUAUUGUAUAACAAACACUUAACUCUUAGCCCAGCCGGGCUCGCUGGCUACUUUUGCAAGCUUUUUACCAACUAGCGAUGCUUGUAAGCGGUGCUUGUAACUCCUAGCUUGUACCACGCUCCCACUAGCUGCGCUAUCAGCUAGCGGCGUUCAAAGCAGCUCCUCAAACCGCGGCUUGUGCCCGCGCGCCCGCUGCGCUAUCAGCUGGGCUGCGCCUAAAGCACCUUUGCAAGCCCCGACUUAAGCCCCGCGCCGCGCUCCCCUCGCUCGCCAGGGACAGCCCGUGCCACGCAUGCGCACCACCCGCUCUAUCAGGUAGAGUGCGCACUACCCGCACUAUCAGGUAGUGUGGCUGAGAGCUGCCCUGCGCAUGCGCCCCACCCGCUCGAUCAGGUAGAGUGGCUGCUAGCCGCCCCGAGCAUGCGCACUACCCGCACUAGCAGGUAGUGUGGCUGAGCUGCCCCGCGCAUGCGCACUACCCGCACUAGCAGGUAGUGUGGGCUGAGAGCUGCCCUGCGCAUGCGCUCUCUAGCACUGCCGCGCCGCGUCUCUCUAUCUUAGCAACGCCGCACCGCGCAUCACCGUUCCACUCACACAUACACACACACGCACAAGCACGCACGUCCGGACGUAACAGACACACUACACUGCAAUCGGGACACACACCACACACUGAAAUCGCGAUUUCGCCCUCCCCGAGCCGCGCUAUCAGCUGGGGAGGUCCUCCCGCCGCCGGCCUCUCCCCCGAUGGCGGUCUGCUUGCAAGCCCCUAGGCAAACCUGCGCGCAAAAACAUCUUUUUGCGACUUAUCAGUGCCAACCUUAAGAAAAUAAAUUAAUACAUACCGCUUUCAUCCGCUAGUCGACGGGCCGUGGUAUGCUCCUCGCAGUGUACAGCCGAGGCGCAGAGUCCCUCCGGGGAAAAGCCCCGUGGCGCCUGAGGGUGUCUGCUCCCAACCGGACCUGCGGGUGAGCAGAGCAGUCCCUUCGUGGUCGCCAACUGAAACGAUACGCGGAAUAAAUCAAUAGACUCCAUAACCUGGGGUAGUUAUGAAGUGGACGUUCCAUAUGCAAUACACUGCACGACUUUUUCAUGCGUAUUCAACCCCUGGCCCCGCCUGUCCUCGCUUCUCAUGCUAAAGCUGUCACAAAGCAGAAGAGCAGCUGAGAUGCUGAAAAGCAGCAAAGCUGAACAGCCUGCCUCAGCUUCAGCAGUGUGCAAUUGACUGAAGGCGAAACACGAAGCAGCACAGCAGCGGGCUUCUGUGCGCACUGAAGGCAAUUGCAAGAAUCCAGCAGCUGCUCCUUGCCAAGCACAGUCAGCUGCCUAGGUU